This 434-nucleotide ribosomal RNA is filed under the name uncultured bacterium. RNAcentral's name for it is "bacterial SSU rRNA". It matches the Rfam family "Bacterial small subunit ribosomal RNA", at positions 343 to 794 of the family's 1533-position model. The record is from RNAcentral.
GGGAGGCAGCAGUGGGGAAUAUUGCACAAUGGGGGAAACCCUGAUGCAGCGACGCCGCGUGGAGGAUGAAGGCCUUCGGGUUGUAAACUCCUUUUCUUGGGAAAGAUGAUGACGGUACCCAAGGAAUAAGCCACGGCUAACUCUGUGCCAGCAGCCGCGGUAAGACAGAGGUGGCAAGCGUUGUUCGGAAUUACUGGGCUUAAAGGGCGAGUAGGCGGUGGGACAAGUCUGAUGUGGAAUGUUAGGGCUUAACCCUAAAACUGCAUUAGAAACUGUUUUACUUGAGUCAGUGAGGGGAGGGCGGAAUUCCCGGUGUAGCGGUGAAAUGCGUAGAUAUCGGGAGGAAGGCCGGUGGCGAAGGCGGCCCUCUGGCACUGUACUGACGCUGAGGCGCGAAAGCGUGGGGAGCAAACAGGAUUAGAUACCCCGGUAGC